CAAAGCAUACGGAGGCUGCAAGAGACCUCUCCUGAGGUGGAAAGUAGCUACAAAAUGUAAACUACGUGGUAACUUUUCCGUUGAUGUUCGUAUACGCAGGGCUGUCACUCCUGUAAUGUUUGGCGAGAGUGCAACAUGUUUCGGAAAAUACUGGAUGAAACAACGAACGCCAGCUCAGAUUUUGUAGCUACGUCCGCUUUCUUAAGGCUACUGAGGAGCUGGGUUAGGAAGGGUUUACUUUUCAACAUUUCCUUCAUCUGCUGAGUGUGCACAGCAGAACUGUUCGAUUGUCUACUGUGUUGCGCCACGCAUGGAGUGGCUGCAGCACAUCAAUGGCCUACCAGAUUUAUGGGAUCAGCCAUUGUGUACAUUGCCACAGCAGCACACCAACACGCUACCUGAUUUAUCGGUCUUCAGGUUUCCACCGUUGCAGCAGCUGCACCCACCUCAUUUAUCGUCUGACUUAAGUCUGCACUUAAAUUUCUGUCCAUCAGGUGACGCUGAGCCAUCCGAUAUGAACACAAUGUUGCCGAAUACAGUGUGUACUUUAUAAUCAGUGGCAACAGUAAAUGCAUCAGUGUGGGAAUUAUGUCAAAUUGUGAGUUCUACUCAGUGCUGGCUUUCGAAAAUCCUCAAUACAGUGAUACAAAAGACGUAUUAUCCCGGGAAGAGUGGAAUCGCCGAUGUGAUGCUUCAAUGCGUAUUACUACCAUGUCCAGUGCAAUUGCUCAAGAUCCCUCAGUCAUAUUAGGGGAUCAUGCAGUCUCUACAUGGGACUUACCAUGAAAAGUUAAACUUUUUAAUGUGAGAGAGUGCACUCAUCUACAAGAGCAAGCAUUUAAAAACCCAGUGCAUGCCAGUUACAUAAUCCAGCAUGCUGUAGACAAAGGAGGAAGCUGGCAGCCUUAUGUAUACAGAUCCUACAAGAGAAUAUGGACCAAUCUGGUGGAGCCAGUGCACCAAACUCAGAGGCCAUCAGACGAAACCGUCGCCUAAGUUUAUAACACCUUCAGCACAUCAGUAAAUGCAAAUAUGUAUGAAUCAGCCAUGUCUGAUGUAAGCAAA
This is a long non-coding RNA of Schistocerca serialis cubense, 1065 nucleotides long. RefSeq lists it as uncharacterized. The transcript is spliced from 3 exons. The record is from RefSeq and is a predicted model, not a curated record. Lineage: Eukaryota; Metazoa; Arthropoda; Insecta; Orthoptera; Acrididae.